GAAUAUGUUCGCUGCUCCUCAGCAGUAGCUGAGCUACCGAUGCUGGUAGGCUAGCGCUACCAAUGUACUAUCAACAUUUGCAUAGACACCAGUGAGCUCUCAAAGCAAGCAAUAUAUAGCACUACACACUCAUCAUCGAAGUAUAGAACUGAACACAAAAGGGGAGAGUGACCAGAAAGAGAGGAGCAAUGGCGGCUCAGGCACAGACCAUAGAGGUUCCCACGGACGCUGAGCUGCUGCAGGCACAAGCUGACCUGUGGCGCCACAGCCUCUACUACCUCUCCUCCAUGGGUCUACGCUGCGCCGUCGAGCUCGAGAUUCCGACUGCCAUCCACCGGCUCGGCGGGGCCGCCUCGCUGCCCGACCUGAUGUCCGCGCUGUCCCUUCCCUCGGUUAAGAUGCCAUUUCUCCGCCGGGUCAUGCGCGUGCUCGUCACGUCGGGUGUCUUCGCCGCCGACAACGACUCUGGGUCUGAGGCGAUCUACCGCCUCACACCGUUGUCCCGCAUCCUGGUGCACGGUGUAGUAGCGGAUGAGCACCACAGCCAGAAGUAUUUUGUGAUUGGCGUGACCUCGCCGCAUUAUACGGAGGCGGCGAUGGGGCUGGCCGGCUGGUUCAAGAAGGACCAUGAGCCACCGGUGCCGUCACCCUUUGAGGACAUCUUCGGGGUGCCGCUCUGUGAUGACAGAACGCCGCUCCUAGACAAGGAGCUGGACGAUGUUGUCACACAAGGCUUGGCUGCCCACGACAACCUGGGGAUUGCCACGGUGAUGCGGGAGUGCCAUGACCUUUUCAAGGGGCUAGACUCAUUGACUGACUGCGGCGGUGGUGAUGGUACGACGGCGAGAGCCAUCAUCAAGGCUUACCCCCACAUCAAGUGCACUGUGCUAGACCUUCCGAAGGUGGUCGACAAAGCCCCAGCAGAUGGUCUCGUUACCUAUGUCGCAGGUGACUUGUUCCAUUCCGUCCCAUCAUCACAAGCUGUGAUGCUCAAGCUUGUGCUACACUUCUGGAGCGAUGAGGAUUGCGUGAAAAUCCUAGCUCAGUGCAAGAAGGCCAUUCCUUCGCGUGAGGAGGGAGGGAAGAUAAUAAUCAUUGAAAUUGUGGUUGGACCUUCCUUAGGGCCAAUAAUGUUUGAAGCCCAACUCCUUAUGGAUAUGCUUAUGAUGGUGAACUCAAAAGGGCGUCAACGGGAUGAAAAUGACUGGAGCAAACUGUUCACUAAAGCGGGGUUCACGGACUACAAAAUUGUGAAGAAACUAGGAGCUCGGUGUGUCAUUGAGGUCUAUCCAUAAGAUAUUGUGCUAUAUGCACAUUAAUAAAGGGAGUACCUAUUACUAUAAAUCUUUUGCCGAGUACUGGACUCGAUAAAGGUACCUUUUGCCGAGUGCAGCUCUCGGCAGCUGCGGCGCUUGGAUGCCCACUGUCAACGUCCAAGAUAUAGUUUGCCAAACUUGUAAGUUGUGCACAGAUGGUUUGCCGAGUAUCAUGUUGCGGUGCGCCCAUGAGUGGGAGCUCGGCACACAGCUUGGAACUGGGCAAAGAUGAAUUUAUUUAUUUUUAGCUAAUUGGACUCCCUCUUCUUUUUAAUUGAAAAGACAUGCAACGCUCCUGCAUGUUCUUGAAUAAAAAAAUAAAAAAAAUUAGUAGUGUCUUCUGAUUCA
This is an RNA transcript of Triticum aestivum (bread wheat), 1664 nucleotides long. It is a transcript of the gene named probable O-methyltransferase 2, with no coding region annotated. The transcript is spliced from 3 exons. The record is from RefSeq and is a predicted model, not a curated record. NCBI's taxonomy places the organism in Eukaryota, Viridiplantae, Streptophyta, Magnoliopsida, Poales, Poaceae.